UAGGGAAUAUUGCAAAAUGGGCGAAAGCCCGAUGCAGCAACGCCGCGUGGGCGAUGAAGGCCUUCGGGUCGUAAAGCCCUUUUUGAGGGGAUGAGGAGGGACAGUACCCUCAGAAUAAGCCUCGGCUAACUACGUGCCAGCAGCCGCGGUAAAACGUAGGAGGCGAGCGUUAUCCGGAUUUACUGGGCGUAAAGCGCGUGCAGGCGGAUUGGAGAGUUGGAUGUGAAAGCUCCCGGCUUAACUGGGAGAGGUCGUUCAAUACUUCCAGUCUCGAGUGCAGUAGAGGGAAGUGGAAUUCCGGGUGUAGUGGUGAAAUGCGUAGAUAUCCGGAGGAACACCAGUGGCGAAAGCGGCUUCCUGGACUGUAACUGACGCUCAGACGCGAAAGCUAGGGUAGCAAACG
RNAcentral lists this ribosomal RNA (403 nucleotides) under uncultured bacterium. RNAcentral describes it as "bacterial SSU rRNA". It matches the Rfam family "Bacterial small subunit ribosomal RNA", at positions 355 to 774 of the family's 1533-position model. The record is from RNAcentral.